Molecule: ribosomal RNA, 253 nt
Filed under: uncultured bacterium
Lineage: Bacteria
Description: partial 16S ribosomal RNA
Rfam family: Bacterial small subunit ribosomal RNA
Source: RNAcentral
UACGUAGGGUGCAGGCGUUAAUCGGAAUUACUGGGCGUAAAGCGUGCGCAGGCGGCUUCUCAAGUCAGAUGUGAAAUCCCCGGGCUUAACCUGGGAACUGCGUUUGAAACUGGGAGGCUAGAGUGCGGCAGAGGGGGGUGGAAUUCCACGUGUAGCAGUGAAAUGCGUAGAUAUGCGGAGGAACACCGAUGGCGAAGGCAAUCCCCUGGGCCUGCACUGACGCUCAUGCACGAAAGCGUGGGGAGCAAACAGG